UACGGGGGGAGCAAGCGUUGUUCGGAUUUACUGGGCGUAAAGGGCGCGUAGGCGGCCAGCACAAGUCAGUUGUGAAAUCUCCGAGCUUAACUCGGAACGGUCAACUGAUACUGUGCGGCUAGAGUGCAGAAGGGGCAACUGGAAUUCUUGGUGUAGCGGUGAAAUGCGUAGAUAUCAAGAGGAACACCUGCGGCGAAGGCGGGUUGCUGGGCUGACACUGACGCUGAGGCGCGAAAGCUAGGGGAGCGAACGGG
This 254-nucleotide ribosomal RNA is filed under the name uncultured bacterium. Its description in RNAcentral is "partial 16S ribosomal RNA". It matches the Rfam family "Bacterial small subunit ribosomal RNA", at positions 524 to 776 of the family's 1533-position model. The record is from RNAcentral.